UGGGGAAUUUUGGACAAUGGGCGCAAGUGAUCCACAUGCCGCGUGUCUGAAGAAGGCCUUCGGGUUGUAAAGGACUUUUGUCAGGGAAGAAAAGGACAGGGUUAAUACCUCUGUUUGAUGACGGUACCUGAAGAAUAAGCACCGGCUAACUACGUGCCAGCAGCCGCGGUAAUACGUAGGGUGCGAGCGUUAAUCGGAAUUACUGGGCGUAAAGCGAGCGCAGACGGUUACUUAAGCAGGAUGUGAAAUCCCCGGGCUCAACCUGGGAACUGCGUUCUGAACUGGGUGACUAGAGUGUGUCAGAGGGAGGUAGAAUUCCACGUGUAGCAGUGAAAUGCGUAGAGAUGUGGAGGAAUACCGAUGGCGAAGGCAGCCUCCUGGGAUAACACUGAUGUUCAUGCUCGAAAGCGUGGGUAGCAAACAGGAUUAGAUACCCUGGUAGUCCACGCCCUAAACGAUGUCAAUUAGCUGUUGGGCAACUUGAUUGCUUAGUAGCGUAGCUAACGCGUGAAAUUGACCGCCUGGGGAGUACGGUCGCAAGAUUA
RNAcentral lists this ribosomal RNA (545 nucleotides) under uncultured bacterium. RNAcentral describes it as "bacterial SSU rRNA". It matches the Rfam family "Bacterial small subunit ribosomal RNA", at positions 355 to 896 of the family's 1533-position model. The record is from RNAcentral.